GAACGCGAAGAACCUUACCAGAUCUUGACAUCCUGCGUAGGCCUGCGAGAGCAGGCUGUGCCCUCGGGAACGCAGAGACAGGUGGUGCAUGGCUGUCGACAGCUCGUGUCGUGAGAUGUUGGGUUAAGUCCCGCAACGAGCGCAACCCCUAUUGCUAGUUGCCAUCAUUAGUUGGGAACUCUAGCAAGACUGCCUGCGAAGAGCAGGAGGAAGGUGGGGAUGACGUCAAGUCAUCAUGCCCCUUAUGAUCUGGGCUACACACGUGCUACAAUGGCCGGUACAGAGAGCCGCAAGGCGGCAACGCCAAGCCAAUCUUUAAAGCCGGUCCAAGUUCGGAUUGAAGUCUGCAACCCGACUCCAUGAAGCUGGAUUCGCUAGUAAUCGCGCAUCAGCCAUGGCGCGGUGAAUACGUUCCCGGGUCUUGUACACACC
Molecule: ribosomal RNA, 432 nt
Filed under: uncultured bacterium
Lineage: Bacteria
Description: bacterial SSU rRNA
Rfam family: Bacterial small subunit ribosomal RNA
Source: RNAcentral